This 5169-nucleotide long non-coding RNA is filed under the name Sus scrofa (pig). RNAcentral describes it as "lncRNA (ENSSSCG00045038187.1)". Lineage: Eukaryota; Metazoa; Chordata; Mammalia; Artiodactyla; Suidae. The record is from RNAcentral.
UGUGGUUGAGCCAGUGAAUGUCUUGGUAUCUGAAAUGGUUUUAAAUCCAUAGCUUGUAUUUAGGUCAGUUUUAACUAGGGAGCAGGGAGCAGCACACUUUUCCUGUUAACGGCCAGAAAGUAAAUAUUUUCAACCACAUGAACCUUGUCGUAAUUACAACUCGGCUAUUGCCGCACAAAAACAGCCAGAGACAAAGCAAAUGUGCAUGGCUGGCUUCCAGUAAACCUUUAAUUAUGCCGAAAAUUUGAAUCUAUCAUUUCCAUAUGUGUAAUGAAGCAUUAUUCUUAAACAAUUUUUUUCAACCAUUAAAAAAUUUAAAAACUGUUCUUAACUCAUGGGUUAUACAAAAACAGAUGGCAGGCUGGAUGUGGCCAGCCAGCCAUAGUUUGUUAAAUCCUGCUUGAGGAUUACAAUACUAUUAUCUGUUCUUCCAGAGUUUCAAGAAAAAGUAUGUGUUCUUAUAGCAUCAGACACAGUCACCAUUGCUCAGAGCAUCACCAUGUACGAGAAACAUUACAGUAGUUCUGUAAGUGGUGUGCCCAGCUCUAAUAUUUCUGGGACACAGUGCUUUGCUGCUGUGCUGUUUCAUUUGCACUCCGUCAGGCUCUCUUUGAAGUGGUUAAGGUUCUUAAGACAGUAUCACUUUCACUCUAGAAAUUCCAAAACUUGAUGAAUUGAACUACAGACAAUAUGCUCUUUUGCCUUGAGUAAGUUUUUGAAAAAUUUCCCCUCUUUCUGCUCCACAUCUACCGUCUGUGGAAAGUGAGCUCAGGUUUUCCAUUUAGAUAGAGUGCUCUCACAUUCCUUGAUGGCAUAUGGCGAGGCCCCCAAUUCAUGUGUAAUGGCUAAUUAAGGAAAACAGAUUUUUGCUAAAAAUAUCAGAGGCCAUACUUUGGCCAAGCUGGCUGCCUUUUCAGUAUUGCUGGUCACUUUCCUUUAAGUCCUAAAUUACUCAAGGCUUUGUAAUUUUUUCAGUCAUUUUAUUUACCGUGGAUAGUGAUGAAAAGGACAGAGGAUAUGGAGGAAUGACUUAAUUUAUUAAGGCCUAAUGUUCUUUUUUAAUUCCCUUUGGACAGUUUUGGAAUUUCUGUGCCAUUUCUUCUUGUCGCUUAGUCUGUUUUAGAAGUUAUUUAUUUCUGAUUUAGAACAGAAUCAUGAAAAUCAUUAUAAUCAACUUUGAUCAUAGAGCAUAUAUAGAUGUAUGCAUAAUGUUUAUUAAAAAAUAUGGGAAAAACAUUCCAAAGCCUACCACCCAGAAAUAAAUACUUUAACUUUUACUACUUAUAUGGUAUUGUAUUCUGUAGGUGUGCCCACACAAAUACACAUACAUGCUAUGUAUCUGAGCUUGGUGCCUGCCCUUCUUGAGAUUUUUUAAUAUAGCAUGCCUCCUCAGAGUGCCUGAAGAGGGCUGUAGAAAUAUGAUGUUUUAUGUCUUAUCUUCAAGAUCUAUAAAUCAUUUAUGCCUGAGUGGCAGUUGGGUCACUUGUGCUAUAAUGUGACAUAUGCAUGCCUAUAGACUGCCAUAUUAUGUGAAAUUGCACCACAAAACAUAACAACACAAUACAGGGCUUAUGGGAAAAAUGAGUCAGGGGUACAACACUCAAAGCAUCAUAGUGACACAUUAAAAAAAAAUAUAGAAACCUAAUAAAAAUAGUGGCACAGCGUUACACAUGUUAAAUGGUUAAGAAAUAUAUGAAGACUCUAAUAAAUAUGGCACUUUAGUCUGAAAAAGGCCUGAAAUGUGCUUGUAAUUUGGUGUUGGUACAUUAGCUUGCCAGGGCUGUUGUAACAAACCACUACAGACUGGGUGGCUUACACAACAGAAGUGUAUUUCUCACAGUUCUGGAGCCUGAAGUCUAAGAUCAAGAUGUUACAGAGUUGGUUUCUCCAGAGACCACUCUUCUUGGCUUAUGUCUGGCCACCUUCUCCCCAUGUCUUCAUGUGGUCUUUCUUUCCUCUUGCACAUUCAUCCUUGGUGUCUCUUCCUCUUUUUCUUCUUCUUUUUUUUGGCCAUACCCACAGCAAGUGGAAGUUCCUGGGCCAGGGAUCGAACUGGAGCCACAGCAGUGACACCAAAUGCUAGACUUCCUGACCACCAAGGAACUCCAUCCAUUCCUCCUCUUGUAAGGACACCAAUUAUACUGGAUUAAGAGCCCACUCUUAUAAUUUCAUUUAACCUUAAUUGCUUCCUUUAAGGUCUACUUCCCAAAAAUGUCACAACAUAAGCAAAUGAAAUCCAUGUUAUGCUCACAUAACAUUGGAAGAUGUUUAUAAUUUGGGCAUAUGGUUAACAAACAGUAGGGCUAUGGUGUAGAGUAGUGAGCUCUGGAGCCAGGUAGUGUGAGUUUGGGUCUUCUCUCUAAUAAAAAGAGGUAUGUGGGGUGUUUGGGAGAGUUCUUUGGCCACCCUAAGCUUCGGUUUCGGUUUCUUUAUUUGUAAAAUGGGCACAUCAGUAGGGCCUGCCACUUCAGUCAUUGUGAAGACUAAAUGAAUUAACAUAUGUAAUGUGUUUAGAGAGAUGUUUCAUACACAGUAAGGGCACAGUGAAUGUUAGCUGCCUACAACAUCAUCAAAUUGUCUGUUGGAUUAGUGUAAUAAGAGCAGCAACAAAUAGCUAGUAGUCAGGUCUCUGUCUCCUCAGAUGUGCAGCCGGAAGUUGUGGAACCUGCAGACACAGGGCUGACUGGACUGUGCCAUUUUGAGGAUUUUGGUAUCCCUGGGAACCAAUCCUCCAUGGUUACCAAGGGAUGCCUUUAGCCUGUCACAACCAUGCACUAGCCUUGGGCACACUGCCUGGCAGAGGUGACUGUUGUUUGUCUUUUGGAGAGGAGAGAUGCAAGGAGGUGCAAAAGGAGCAGCGUCUCAGUUUAGAGCAAAACUCUUUCAUCCUGUGGAACCCAAGGAGGAAGAAUCCACGUGGCUUCAUAGGGCUGUCAACCUGGGCUUUACUGACACACAUAAAAAAGAUGCAAAACCCAUCUCAGUUCAGAGCGCUAGUGCCUUUGGCUGGCUGCUGAGUAGUGAUGUGACAAGAGUGGAUGAAGAAAGGUGUCCUGCUUCAGCAGGGAGCUGUGCCCACUGUGCCUCUAGAAGUCGAGGCUUCUGAAGCUCCACAUGAGAAAUGUCAGAACACACAGUGAAUAUCUUUGAACCACAGAGAUUUAAAAUUUGCCUGGGUGAUUUUGAGGAGGACACAGCUGUCUCCGCCAGGAGGGAGGGAGGAACAAAGCUGGAGCCCUGCUGUGCUGGCUUUGGUAAAGCCCCCUCUGCUGGGGCCAGGACAGUCCCAGCAGCCUUAGGAGGUCAGCAUGGCUUCUGGGGACAGGAGUUUGCUGUGAAAUGUAAUACUUGUUGGUUACCUCCUAAGUGCAGGCAAAGAGGUAAAAGGGGCAAUGGACCUUGAACAUAUUUGAUAAUGGAAAUCAGAUGCACCUGAUUCAUAUCCUGGUUCAAGCUCUCGUACCCUUGUGAGGAAUUCACCAUUCCCAGAUGCCUCCCUAAAGGGGAAAUAACUUCUCUUUAUGUGAUCAUUCUGGAGACAUAAGAGGUUGUGUGUAUAAUGUAUAUCUCUCGGUGCCUGGUUCCUUUUCAAGUGGGUUGCAAAGUUGAGUAAGCAACAGCUUCUGACACUGUGGGACUCACCAGGGGCAGUUGAUUCUGUUAUUAAUAGAGUUGUUCAACACCUUAGGUAGGGAGUCAUAAGCUCUAAUAGUUACGUGAUGUGGCUCCUUUCUAGGGCCUCUUCCUUAUGACCCCUGUCAUGGGGUUUUCUGGGUCUUGUAUCUUAAUUGGCUCUCAAGAGAACUAUAAUUUAGAUUCUAGAGAAGGAAGCAGUUUUUUUCUCUCCCUUCAGAAUCCAAUCUGGUUUGCCCUCUCUUUCUCUCCUCUUUUGUCUCCAGUCCCUGCCCCCAUCCCUGGCACUCACCUCUCUCCCCCGCCUGUUAUAGGGGCACUUGCCUUCUGUUUCCUGCUGGCUGUUCGCCCUUCUGUUUUUAGCGCAUGGUGACCACAUGCUUUGGCAAGGGGCAGACAGGAGAUUUAAAAGAAUCCUCAAUCAUUACUAAUUUGGCUAUAAUUGUUUCAGAAGUUGGGACAUGGCACAUGACUCUUGAUGUUUGCAUGUAGCAACUAGUAAUGUACGGAGUGAAUGUCUUUGGACAUGAGAUGCUGGUGGUGGGAAGGGUCAGCGCUUGGGAUAUUGCAAUAGGAGGUCCAGCCAUGUCCCCUUAGGGAAGAUUUGAGCAGACUCCAAGUGUCUAUAAGGGAAGCAGAGUUUUGAGGUUUAUUUGCAGACCUUCCCAAAUCUAAAUUCAUAAUGAGCCAUCCAUGAGACUGGAGACUUAGCUAAAGGCAGUUAAAGUCAGUGGUCUUCAUUUUAAGUGCAAGUUGAGCAGCUGACUGUGUCGAUAGGGCUGUCAUGAUUUGAGCAAAUUAAAGUAUUUUAGAAAAAUCACUUUAAAUUUGACCAGUAUUUAUUUCUUAUUUUGCCCAUAUACCAUCUCAGAGCAGUUGCCAGCUGAUGGGAGGCUAUAUACUGGGCUCAGGGCUCAACUACCUAGAAAGUUAAGGACACUGUUUGUGCAGGGGAUACCCUGUGAUUAAGGCCAUUGGUGCAGUGCCACCCACACGGUGCACCAUGACACACAGGUCAAGGUUAGCAGCAGAAGUACCAUUAAAGGUUAGUAUGCAAAGCUUGCCCAUAUUGCUUAAUUCUGCAGGAUCCUGAUAAUUCCUGUAUUCCCUGUAUUUAGCCACAGAUGUAAUGAAAUUGCAUAUUUUCAUCUUACAUUUGAUAAUGUAAUAGGUUUUCUUGCAGAUAUAGGGAACACCUAAUGCAGAUAGGAAACUGGACUCUAAGCAAGGAAAGGAAAGAGAUGUUUAAUGAGGUUAAGUUCUAUUUCGGAUUCUAUUAAUCCUCACAAUUGUCCUCUGUAAAGUAUUAAGUCUUAAAAGCCUUUCUUACCGAUGAAGAAACUGAAGCAAAGAGAGGUGGAGUAGCUGACCCAGCACCAAUAUAGCUUGUGUCUGGUAUUUUCACCAUAAGUAUCUUUGUUGUAAACGUCUUUGCCACAGCAUUUUUAGCCAAAUAACUAAUUAGCCAUAAGACAGUUCUGCCUUAAAAGAUAUAAUGGUGAAAAUGAAUAACAAAAUUAAAUAAAUAAUAAGAUG